UACGUAGGGUGCAAGCGUUGUCCGGAAUUAUUGGGCGUAAAGAGCUCGUAGACGGUUUGUCGCGUCGAAUGUGAAAACCCGGGGCUCAACCCCGGGCCUGCAUUCGAUACGGGCAGACUAGAGUUCGGUAGGGGAGUCUGGAAUUCCUGGUGUAGCGGUGAAAUGCGCAGAUAUCAGGAGGAACACCGGUGGCGAAGGCGGGACUCUGGGCCGAUACUGACGCUGAGGAGCGAAAGCGUGGGGAGCAAACAGG
Molecule: ribosomal RNA, 253 nt
Filed under: uncultured bacterium
Lineage: Bacteria
Description: partial 16S ribosomal RNA
Rfam family: Bacterial small subunit ribosomal RNA
Source: RNAcentral